Long non-coding RNA from Papilio polytes (common Mormon), 119 nucleotides. RefSeq lists it as uncharacterized. Lineage: Eukaryota; Metazoa; Arthropoda; Insecta; Lepidoptera; Papilionidae. The record is from RefSeq and is a predicted model, not a curated record. The transcript is spliced from 2 exons.
UUCAUUCAUUCAAAAUUAUGUUGUAUUUUUUAAUAUUUUGUGCUUUAUCUAUUUCAAAUGCUUUUAUUGGUAGACAGAUAAAGUUGCUCCUACCAGACGAUAUAAUUGAUACAUUUAAG